Molecule: non-coding RNA, 205 nt
Organism: Oryza glaberrima (African rice)
Lineage: Eukaryota; Viridiplantae; Streptophyta; Magnoliopsida; Poales; Poaceae
Source: Rfam
AAAAAAGCAAACUCUGGGUUUCCGUGUCUAACUUUAACUGUCCAUCUUAUAUAAAUUUUUUUUAUAAUUUAUAUUUUCAUUGUUGUUAGAUGAUAAAACAUGAUUAAUAUUUUAUGCGUGACUUGUCUUUUUAAUUUUUUUCAUAAAUUUUUCAAAUAAAACGGACGGUCAAACGUUGGACACGGAAACCAGGGUUUGUCUUUUU